RNAcentral lists this long non-coding RNA (405 nucleotides) under Phoenix dactylifera (date palm). RNAcentral describes it as "long non-coding RNA (PDAC_LNC023014)". Lineage: Eukaryota; Viridiplantae; Streptophyta; Magnoliopsida; Arecales; Arecaceae. The record is from RNAcentral.
UGCAAUUUUCUAGUACAAAUCACUGAAUAUGAUGUUAGGUGCGGCCUAGUCCAUGCGUUAAAAUAGCCAUGGAUUAUUACAUCAUUGUUACUGUAGGAAUAUGUUUCUUGGACAUUGCUGGUAAUCUCUUACUAUAUCUAAACUCCACGUCAAACCCGACAAAGAAGGACAUGGUGAGAACAACAGUAUAGCAGCAGUGUGAAAGCAUGUUCUACAUAUAUAUAUAUAUAUCAAUGAGACGAGGUCUUCGUUUAUAUGAAAAAUAGUUUUAAAAAGAAGCUUUCAACAUAAAAGAUAGAAGCUUUUUGGACAACAUUAGCAUCAAACUAACCCACACACACCAAAAGCAUGCGAGAUAACCUUAGCUUUUGAAAUGUUACGUGAUAAUAUGAUAGAAACAUUAAA